GAUGAACGCUGGCGGCGUGCCUAAUACAUGCAAGUCGAGCGAACAGAUGAGGAGCUUGCUCCUCUGACGUUAGCGGCGGACGGGUGAGUAACACGUGGAUAACCUACCUAUAAGACUGGGAUAACUUCGGGAAACCGGAGCUAAUACCGGAUAAUAUAUUGAACCGCAUGGUUCAAUAGUGAAAGACGGUUUUGCUCUCACUUAUAGAUGGAUCCGCGCCGCAUUAGCUAGUUGGUAAGGUAACGGCUUACCAAGGCAACGAUGCGUAGCCGACCUGAGAGGGUGAUCGGCCACACUGGAACUGAGACACGGUCCAGACUCCUACGGGAGGCAGCAGUAGGGAAUCUUCCACAAUGGGCGAAAGCCUGACGGAGCAACGCCGCGUGAGUGAUGAAGGUCUUCGGAUCGUAAAACUCUGUUAUUAGGGAAGAACAAAUGUGUAAGUAACUAUGCACGUCUUGACGGUACCUAAUCAGAAAGCCACGGCUAACUACGUG
This 497-nucleotide ribosomal RNA is filed under the name uncultured bacterium. RNAcentral's name for it is "partial 16S ribosomal RNA". It matches the Rfam family "Bacterial small subunit ribosomal RNA", at positions 28 to 507 of the family's 1533-position model. The record is from RNAcentral.